GUUGAGUACACUAGGAACAACAACAACAACAACAACAACAACCAAAAAAUCCAAAAUAAAGUGACACAGUAUCUAAAAAGAUAAUACAGAUCAUUUUUUUACUGUAGUUAGUUAAUAGAACAUGAAAGAAGUUCAUUUCAGCUAAAUAAAACCUCACUAUCAGUUUCAGAAACCAUGGAAACAAGUUCUCAAUUACCAAUAUUAUAUUGUUAUGACUGAGAUAACGAGCAUUAUUCUUAAAAAUAUUUUUCAGAGUCACGCAGAAGAUGCCGAAUCACCCUGCUGCAGACAGGCAGCCACCUGGUUCCACACUACAAAGACGCAGAGGACACCAGACCACCAGACCAAGGUUCUCCUCUGCAAUGCCCCUCUGCCAAGCCACCCUGCCUUGGAACCAGCCAAUUAUGGAUUGAAACUUCUACAAAUUAGAAACCCUUGUGGAAGUCUGCACUGGG
Long non-coding RNA from Heterocephalus glaber (naked mole-rat), 455 nucleotides. The record is from Ensembl. Lineage: Eukaryota; Metazoa; Chordata; Mammalia; Rodentia; Bathyergidae.